Molecule: ribosomal RNA, 497 nt
Filed under: uncultured bacterium
Lineage: Bacteria
Description: partial 16S ribosomal RNA
Rfam family: Bacterial small subunit ribosomal RNA
Source: RNAcentral
GAUGAACGCUGGCGGCGUGCCUAAUACAUGCAAGUCGAGCGAACAGACGAGGAGCUUGCUCCUCUGACGUUAGCGGCGGACGGGUGAGUAACACGUGGAUAACCUCCCUAUAAGACUGGGAUAACUUCGGGAAACCGGAGCUAAUACCGGAUAAUAUAUUGAACCGCAUGGUUCAAUAGUGAAAGACGGUUUUGCUGUCACUUAUAGAUGGAUCCGCGCCGCAUUAGCUAGUUGGUAAGGUAACGGCUUACCAAGGCAACGAUGCGUAGCCGACCUGAGAGGGUGAUCGGCCACACUGGAACUGAGACACGGUCAAGACUCCUACGGGAGGCAGCAGUAGGGAAUCUUCCGCAAUGGGCGAAAGCCUGACGGAGCAACGCCGCGUGAGUGAUGAAGGUCUUCGGAUCGUAAAACUCUGUUAUGAGGGAAGAACAAAUGUGUAAGUAACUAUGCACGUCUUGACGGUACCUAAUCAGAAAGCAACGGCUAACUACGUG